RNAcentral lists this non-coding RNA (30 nucleotides) under Rattus norvegicus (Norway rat). The record is from RNAcentral. Lineage: Eukaryota; Metazoa; Chordata; Mammalia; Rodentia; Muridae.
UCACUGUGGAAAGUAUGGUGGCUGUGAAGG